Molecule: ribosomal RNA, 429 nt
Filed under: Chloroflexota bacterium
Lineage: Bacteria; Bacillati; Chloroflexota
Description: Chloroflexi bacterium partial 16S ribosomal RNA
Rfam family: Bacterial small subunit ribosomal RNA
Source: RNAcentral
UGGGGAAUAUUGCACAAUGGGCGCAAGCCUGAUGCAGCCAUGCCGCGUGUGUGCAGAAGGCCUUCGGGUUGUAAAGCACUUUCAGCGGGGAGGAAGGCGGUGAGGUUAAUAACCUCACCGAUUGACGUUACCCGCAGAAGAAGCACCGGCUAACUCCGUGCCAGCAGCCGCGGUAAUACGGAGGGUGCAAGCGUUAAUCGGGAUUACUGGGCGUAAAGCGCACGCAGGCGGUCUGUCAAGUCGGAUGUGAAAUCCCCGGGCUCAACCUGGGAACUGCAUUCGAAACUGGCAGGCUAGAGGCUUGUAGAGGGGGGUAGAAUUCCAGGUGUAGCGGUGAAAUGCGUAGAGAUCUGGAGGAAUACCGGUGGCGAAGGCGGCCCCCUGGACGAAGACUGACGCUCAGGUGCGAAAGCGUGGGGAGCAAACAGG